UUUUCAGUUCCAUGAAUUUCAACAACAAACAAAAGCCACAUCAUAGUUAUUCUUAAUCUGUGUCAUAGCCACAUUCAUUCUCAUUCACACGCGUAUGCAAAAUAGAUGUUUAACACGGAUGACGAAUCUUGUAAAUUAAUUGGAUAGUGCAACUACUCUACAUACGAAGCAUGGGGAAUAAUUGAAACUCUAAGUACUCUUUCAUCUAGCCCGAGUCAAGAACAGAGUCUGCUUCUAAAUUUUUGCCCAAUUUGACCAGAGUUCAGCUCGAUGGGAUGAUUUCUAAAAAUUGGUGUGAGGGUCCCUUCAGAUGUACUUUUUCCAUUUCAAUUAAUGUUCUUCUAGUCACCUUGCGAGUACCGUUUAUGAAUGGAAAUGGACAACUUUGAUAAAGAUCUCUAUUACUUUAUGAUUUUAAGAAUGUAUAUAAAUUACGAAUUUAUUUUCUUGUGUAUAUUUUAUUUCCGGUUCAUUACUACACAGGAAUACACAUGUGUUACUAAAUACAUAUGCAUUUUGGUAAUACAAAUGGUAUUAAUAUAUAAGCAAAAAGAGUA
This is a long non-coding RNA of Folsomia candida, 557 nucleotides long. RefSeq lists it as uncharacterized. The record is from RefSeq and is a predicted model, not a curated record. Lineage: Eukaryota; Metazoa; Arthropoda; Collembola; Entomobryomorpha; Isotomidae. The transcript has 2 exons.